UUCUCCACAAACUUGAAACUGUUUUCUUAAAGUAAAAGUUGGAAGCAAAGAUCUAAAUAUUGUUAAUGUGAUUUUAUUUGUUUUUAGGCAGAUAAACCCUGAUUUUGCAUACAUUUUAAGUCUUAAAAUGUAUGCAUCAACCUGAGCUACAGAACCAUUCCAGGAUGUGUUUUUUCUUCCUAACAUUGAUACUUUGACAAAAAAGCAAUGUCUAAAGUAAUUGCUUAAAAUAUCCAAUGUUCACCACAAUACACAGAAAUACAGUCUUGGUCUCUUGGUCUUUUUUUCGGAAGAACCAGCCUCGACUCCAUGCAAGAUGGUUAGUAAUGGUAGCUAACGCCAACAGCUUAGCGUUAGCUAAGUCCAAAUGAAAAUCCUCAAAAACAUCAUGGUGAUUUAUUCAUCCACCCAUUGGCUGCAUUUUAUCACAUCAUAACUCUUUUUUUCUUCUUGUAACAAACUGAGCUGACAUUCGUCGUGAAUUAGCUUAGAUAGUUUUACACGUUCCACUUCGGUGUCUGUUUCAGGGAGGAAGGUCUUUGGUGGGGCACCAACCCGCUCCGUGUCCCAUGUAAAUAUUCAUCAGCUUCUAUGUAAACAACCAUCCAACGCAAAUAGUUUAUAUUACUCCUGUUUGUGUAAACCGCUGUGACAUUUUUCAAACCGGUGUUAUAGCAGCUGCUACGGGAGCCUAAGAAGGUCAAGCAGAAGAAAGAAAGCGCCGAUAUUGUGUGAAGAGAGAAUCUAAAUGCGACGAUAGCAAGUGGAAGCCCGGAAAGUACUCUUAAAAAAAAAAGGGAACGGAUUAGCAAAAGACUUACCCUUCUUUGGUUUGAAUCACACAAUAUGACUGUAAAAGAAGCCGAUUUUUUUUUAUUUUUUCUUUUUUUUUCUAUUCUUUGCUCCAGGCCGUGACAUUUUGCCAACUUAUCACCCUAUCGGGGUCAAGAAGUCUCUUGCCACAAACUGAACAAACAAGCUUGCUCUGUUUUAUUCAACCACAUGAGGAUGAAGUCCUUGGUUUACACACCGUCUGCGGCGCACUGAAGGCACCGUGGUCCAAGGCUGGCCUUCGUCCAGUUCCUACACAAUUGUGCCACCUUCUGGAGUAAAUGGUGAAAUAUAGCAGGAACAAGGAGGAAUUCAGAAGCCACUCAAGCUAAGAGUUUCUUUGUGCCGACAGACGUCUUCCCCGUUUCUAUUUCAUCUCCAGUCUGUCACAGAAAAGGCUGCGGUGUUUGCCUGCAUGUUGUUGGUGCACUAGUGAAGCGAGGGUGUACACAUGGCUCAUAUUUGGGAGGCUGGGGGACGAAAAGAGAAGAUUGGGGAGUGAUUCAAUCGCUACACAAAUGGAUUUGGCUAAUAGAGGCAGCCUCUGAUCCUGACUGGUACACAGCUGGAGCCUCCCUAAUUGGAGAGGGUGAAGAGUGGAGAAGAGAGUGGAUGGGGAGAAAGAGAGAAUAUGGCCCCCGGAGAAAAUGCACCUCCGCUGCAUCACUGCUGGGCUGACGUGGCUCAGGGCAAACGUUUAAAAAAAAACCCACACGGCUCAUCAUAACUCAUUGUUAAUAUUCUCGCCCCUGAAAGCAGCUUUGUGUAAUCAUUUCUGGUAUUCUAAAUAUCUGAUGAAGGGUGGUCUAAGAGCAAAAAGUGGCCCACUUCACCGCAGUGAGGACCAUUAGAGAAAUGCUAUAACUAUUUAUCAGCGCUGAGUACCUCGGCUCUUUUUUUCUAAAUUGGAGUCGUCGUAAAAUGUGUUUCCCUGAAAUAGUUUGAGGUAAAAAUGCAAAGCAGGCAGAGCCGAGUGAAAUUCCUCCUCCUAAAAGGAGUGAAAGUCAAAUUCCUCAAGUUUGCUUCGUUUUUUUGUGACGCAAUACUUGUCCCAGAUUUAUUUCUGCAUAGCUUUUGAUGUGCCAGUUUGAGUAUUUUGGGGUUGAAUGUGAAUUUGUCCAGUAUUUUCCCUCUUUUAGGUAAUUAUUUUAAUGCCGCUGACUCCCAUUCAUAAUGCAUUUUUCUGAGUAUACUGCUAUUGCAGUUUUUUUUUGUUUGUUUGUUUGUUUUUUGUCAUUCGUUGAUCUUCAAAUCGUUUCAGAUUUUUCAUGAUGCGUUGUCCAACGAGGUGAAAAUAUUUAAUCUGCCAAGCAUACGGGAUGGGAAUUAAACAACUUUUAAAUGACUUUGCAUGAAAUGUGAAAAUAGUCCAGAGUCAAUGGCCAUUUUUGAAAAAAUAUUUCCAAAUUUGCAUAUGUGGAAUGGGACAAAACAAAAUCUGCCAAAUAAGGACUUUGACUGCUAGGACUGGCAUUUAAGGAGUUCAACAAACAUCUUGAAAAUGUAUGAAUAUGUGUUGUGUAUGUUGAAAUAUAUAGUGGUACUUAUAAAAAAAUAAAAACACGAUUGUACACAA
Molecule: long non-coding RNA, 2407 nt
Organism: Poecilia latipinna (sailfin molly)
Lineage: Eukaryota; Metazoa; Chordata; Actinopteri; Cyprinodontiformes; Poeciliidae
Exons: 2
Source: RefSeq, a predicted model, not a curated record